RNAcentral lists this ribosomal RNA (282 nucleotides) under uncultured Gammaproteobacteria bacterium. RNAcentral's name for it is "partial 16S ribosomal RNA". It matches the Rfam family "Bacterial small subunit ribosomal RNA", at positions 202 to 473 of the family's 1533-position model. Lineage: Bacteria; Pseudomonadati; Pseudomonadota; Gammaproteobacteria. The record is from RNAcentral.
AAGCGGGACCUUCGGGCCUCGCGCCAUUGGAUGAGCCUGCGUAAGAUUAGCUAGUUGGUAGGGUAAAGGCCUACCAAGGCGACGAUCUUUAGCUGGUCUGAGAGGAUGAUCAGCCACACUGGAACUGAGACACGGUCCAGACUCCUACGGGAGGCAGCAGUGGGGAAUAUUGCGCAAUGGGGGAAACCCUGAGNCAGCCAUGCCGCGUGUGUGAAGAAGGCCUUAGGGUUGUAAAGCACUUUCAAUUGGGAAGAAAAGCUUGUCAUUAAUAGUGCAAGNNCU